CAAGUAUUCUAUCUGACUCGGUCAUCUUGACCGUAUAUAUAUAUAUAUAUAUAUAUAUAUAUAUAUAUAUAUAUAUAUAUAUAUAUAUAUAUAUAUAUAUAUAUAUAUAUAUAUAUAUAUACGAUCAAGAUGACCUAGUCAGAUAGAAUACUUG
Molecule: non-coding RNA, 154 nt
Organism: Paramuricea clavata
Lineage: Eukaryota; Metazoa; Cnidaria; Anthozoa; Malacalcyonacea; Plexauridae
Source: the annotation of a GenBank genome assembly